AACGAACGCUGGCGGCAUGCCUAACACAUGCAAGUCGAACGACACCUUCGGGGCUUGUGGCGCACGGGUGCGUAACGCGUGGGAACUUGCCCUUAGGUUCGGAAUAACUCGCGGGGGGGGAUGCUAAGAACGGUGAGCGUCUACGGCCCAAGGAUUGAGCGCGUUUGGUUGGGACCGCAUGGGAUUAGCUAGUUGGUGGGGUAUAAGCCUACUAAGGCGACGAUCCAGAGCUGGUCUGAGAGGAUGCUCAGCCACACUGGGACUGAGGCACGGCCCAGACACCUACGGGAGGCAGCAGUGGGGAAUAUUGGACAAUGGGCGAGAGCCUGAUCCAGCAAUGCCGUGUGAGUGAUGAGGGCCUUAGGGUUGUAAAGCUCUUUUACACGGGAUGAUAAUGACAGUACCGGGAGAAUAAGCUCCGGCUAACUACGUG
This 433-nucleotide ribosomal RNA is filed under the name uncultured bacterium. RNAcentral's name for it is "partial 16S ribosomal RNA". It matches the Rfam family "Bacterial small subunit ribosomal RNA", at positions 29 to 507 of the family's 1533-position model. The record is from RNAcentral.